GCAUUAGUGAUUUAGUGGUAGAAUAGUACCCUGCCAUGGUACAGAUCUGGGUUCGAUUCUGGCUAGAGUA
RNAcentral lists this transfer RNA (70 nucleotides) under Nicotiana sylvestris (wood tobacco). It matches the Rfam family "tRNA". From Rfam's summary of the family: Transfer RNA (tRNA) molecules are approximately 80 nucleotides in length. Their secondary structure includes four short double-helical elements and three loops (D, anti-codon, and T loops). Further hydrogen bonds mediate the characteristic L-shaped molecular structure. tRNAs have two regions of fundamental functional importance: the anti-codon, which is responsible for specific mRNA codon recognition, and the 3' end, to which the tRNAs corresponding amino acid is attached (by aminoacyl-tRNA synthetases). tRNAs cope with the degeneracy of the genetic code in two manners: having more than one tRNA (with a specific anti-codon) for a particular amino acid; and 'wobble' base-pairing, i.e. permitting non-standard base-pairing at the 3rd anti-codon position. The record is from Rfam by way of RNAcentral. Lineage: Eukaryota; Viridiplantae; Streptophyta; Magnoliopsida; Solanales; Solanaceae. RNAcentral also lists the same sequence under 1 other name.